AAGUGGACUAAAGUGGGGGACGACCACUGGAUACUGUGGGUAAUACCGCAUAAGCCUGAGGGUGAAAGAUUAAUUGCCUAAGGAUGAGCUCGCGUCUGAUUAGCUAGUUGGUAGGGUAAGAGCCUACCAAGGCGACGAUCAGUAACUGGUCUGAGAGGAUGACCAGUCACACUGGGACUGAGACACGGCCCAGACUCCUACGGGAGGCAGCAGUGGGGAAUUUUCCGCAAUGGGCGAAAGCCUGACGGAGCAAUACCGCGUGGGGGAGGAAGGCCCUUGGGUUGUAAACCUCUUUUCUCAGGGAAGAAAACUGACGGUACCUGAGGAAUCAGCCUCGGCUAACUCCGUGCCAGCAGCCGCGGUAAUACGGAGGAGGCAAGCGUUAUCCGGAAUGAUUGGGCGUAAAGCGUCCGCAGGUGGCAGUGCCAGUCUGCUGUCAAAGCUCAGGGCUUAACCCUGAAAAGGCAGUGGAAACUGCACAGCUAGAGUGCGGUAGGGGCAGAGGGAAUUCCUGGUGUAGCGGUGAAAUGCGUAGAGAUCAGGAAGAACACCGGUGGCGAAAGCGCUCUGCUAGGCCGCAACUGACACUCAGGGACGAAAGCUAGGGGAGCGAAUGGGAUUAGAUACCCCAGUAGUC
RNAcentral lists this ribosomal RNA (637 nucleotides) under uncultured Chroococcales cyanobacterium. RNAcentral describes it as "bacterial SSU rRNA". It matches the Rfam family "Bacterial small subunit ribosomal RNA", at positions 123 to 795 of the family's 1533-position model. The record is from RNAcentral. Lineage: Bacteria; Bacillati; Cyanobacteriota; Cyanophyceae; Chroococcales.